GCACCCGUAGCUCAGCUGGAUAGAGCGCUGCCCUCCGAAGGCAGAGGCCACAGGUUCGAAUCCUGUCGGGUGCG
Molecule: non-coding RNA, 74 nt
Organism: Sphingomonas dokdonensis
Lineage: Bacteria; Pseudomonadati; Pseudomonadota; Alphaproteobacteria; Sphingomonadales; Sphingomonadaceae
Source: Rfam